RNAcentral lists this transfer RNA (72 nucleotides) under Camelus bactrianus (Bactrian camel). It matches the Rfam family "tRNA". Rfam says of the family: Transfer RNA (tRNA) molecules are approximately 80 nucleotides in length. The record is from Rfam by way of RNAcentral. RNAcentral also lists the same sequence under 2 other names. Lineage: Eukaryota; Metazoa; Chordata; Mammalia; Artiodactyla; Camelidae.
GGAAGAAUAGCUCAGUGGCAGAGCACAUGCUUAGCAUGCAGGAGGUCCUGGGUUCAAUUCCCAGUACCUCGA